This 110-nucleotide non-coding RNA is filed under the name Anaerobacillus isosaccharinicus. Its description in RNAcentral is "Anaerobacillus sp. NB2006 SAM riboswitch aptamer (S box leader)". It matches the Rfam family "SAM riboswitch aptamer (S box leader)". From Rfam's summary of the family: The SAM riboswitch is found upstream of a number of genes which code for proteins involved in methionine or cysteine biosynthesis in Gram-positive bacteria. The SAM riboswitch acts at the level of transcription termination control. The predicted structure consists of a complex stem-loop region followed by a single stem loop terminator region. RNAcentral also lists the same sequence under 1 other name. The record is from Rfam by way of RNAcentral. Lineage: Bacteria; Bacillati; Bacillota; Bacilli; Caryophanales; Bacillaceae.
UUCUUAUCGCGAGAGAUGGAGGGAAGUGGCCCUAUGAAAUCUCAGCAACCAGCCUAACAAGGUCAGGUGCUAAAUCCAUCAAGUUUUUUUGAAAACUUGAAAGAUAAGAA